Molecule: transfer RNA, 407 nt
Filed under: Homo sapiens (human)
Lineage: Eukaryota; Metazoa; Chordata; Mammalia; Primates; Hominidae
Description: HSALNT0331486
Source: RNAcentral
CCUCCUUCUGCUUUUUACCUCAUUAUCUCAGAUUUGUUACACUGAGGACUUGCCUACAACACUCCACCGCUAUCUCCACCUGGUUAAGGAAAAAAGGCUAUCAAGGGUAUUUAUACCUUUGCCUUUCCGCCUCAACCAUUGGAACCUGGGACGAACUGAACCCACUUCACUUGCUGUGGACACCAGCGCCGACGAACUUCGCACAAAGCCCGUCCACUGGACAGCUGCGCGCUGCCAAAUGGAAUCCAGAUCCCGAGCAAGGGUGCGGCCCAGGGAGAGUUCCAAGGAACUGGGGGACAAAAUGGGCAAACCACAACAAGCUGGCAGCGGUGGGAUUCGAACCCACGCCUCCGAAGAGACUGGAGCCUUAAUCCAGCGCCUUAGACCGCUCGGCCACGCUACCUUCC